GUAGGUGGCAAGCGUUGUCCGGAAUUAUUGGGCGUAAAAGCGCGCGCAGGCGGUCCUUUAAGUCUGAUGUGAAAGCCCACGGCUCAACCGUGGAGGGUCAUUGGAAACUGGGGGACUUGAGUACAGAAGAGGAAAGCGGAAUUCCAAGUGUAGCGGUGAAAUGCGUAGAGAUUUGGAGGAACACCAGUGGCGAAGGCGGCUUUCUGGUCUGUAACUGACGCUGAGGCGCGAAAGCGUGGGGAGCAAACAGGAUUAGAUACCCUGGUAGUCCACGCCGUAAACGAUGAGUGCUAAGUGUUAGGGGGUUUCCGCCCCUUAGUGCUGCGGCUAACGCAUUAAGCACUCCGCCUGGGGAGUACGGCCGCAAGGCUG
This 372-nucleotide ribosomal RNA is filed under the name uncultured organism. Its description in RNAcentral is "partial 16S ribosomal RNA". It matches the Rfam family "Bacterial small subunit ribosomal RNA", at positions 527 to 896 of the family's 1533-position model. The record is from RNAcentral.